Acanthaster planci (crown-of-thorns starfish) is the source of this 3367-nucleotide long non-coding RNA. The record is from RefSeq and is a predicted model, not a curated record. NCBI's taxonomy places the organism in Eukaryota, Metazoa, Echinodermata, Asteroidea, Valvatida, Acanthasteridae.
UCUUGCAUGUAAGUAAGCACGUAAAGGAAAGGUAUAUCUAAGGCACUGACUUAGAACAAAUCUUAAAACUAUACAGGGUCACCCUAGGAAUACAUUUCUCAGUCCCACGAAUCAUGAGGUAGGAAUUAAUUGGUGAAAACUCCAACUCAGAAAAUCAAAGUCUAAAGCUUGACCAAAAGACAAUUCAUAUCUCUAACUUUUGAUAAAUCAACGCACCUCAGAAUCUAUCGAAUAUUCACAAACCCUGUUCAAAUAAACCAUAGUCAUCAGAAAAGCAUUACAAAAGCAUCAGUCCAGACUGUAGGACUACAGUCAGUCUAUCACUGACACCAUGGAUGUGAUGGAUGAAAAGUCCUGACUUACAUGUACACAUACAUUCAAAAUCUGCUCAUAUUUCUCAAUGCAGUGAAGGGCACAACUUAUUCUCAGCCUCCACUAAGUUAUAAGUUAAAGUGAUUGAAAAGUGCACUGAAACUACCUCAAAUAAUUCACUUAACAUGUAUGUUAAGCUAAAUGUAAAAGGAAAGCUUUCCGAGGAAACAUCUCUUUUGGAUUCAGUCUCAGAAUAUUACUGGCUAGUGGAAAUUACGAUAUACAUGUACCAAAACCUUCAACAUCGUAAAUUUGCUAGGACUUCUCAAAUUAUCCCAAAGUUCAGACUUCAUAAAAUCAAUCCGUACACUUGUUUUCACAAUUUACUACAAGAGUCAUUGUGGAAAAAAUGCAAUGACUAAACCCCAGAAAAGACACACAAUAGUAUAAACAAUGCUUACCAGUAGAAAAGUCAAAAGCUCAGGAAAGAACAAUUUAACUAUGCAAAAAAAAAUUACAGUCAAAAGAAAAAAAGUUGAAAUAGUAACUCAAGACUUCUUUUGGGACGGGGGUUACAUCAUAUAUGUUUUUGCUAUGUUUCAAUGUGUUUGGUCUCCCAUACAGUAUGUAGUUUGUCUGUAUGAAAGCUGUUUCUUUACACAUGUACAUGUAUUAGGAAGUGAUAAUUCCGAUUGUUAUUUUUAUCUUUUUGUUAUUUUCUUAUCAUGACAAAUUUGUGAGCAGCACUGCAAUGCCAGACGAAUCCUAUAGAGACUUUGGUUGAUCCUUUAACCCAUCCAGACUCUGGGAAGUCACCAGUCAAAGUGACUUCUGUCGGAUGUCUUUGUAAAAUCUUAGAUGAUGAGGGACAAGUGGAGGUUUGUGAGGGCCCUGUUGAGCAACUGGGAGAAGCGGGCAAACCUGAAGAUGAACCAGAGGAGUGUGAGUUGCCAGAGGAUGACUCCCCGAAUACCUCUCUUCAUCAUCAUCAUCAUCUGACUCUUUGGGAAAACACGUAAGCCAAACGAGAAGAAGGAGAGGACGAAGCCCGAGGACCGCAUUUAGAAAACAAGCUGAUGUGAGCCCUCACCUCCAACCAAAGUACAUCGUGCUUGAGGGCUCACUCAUGGUACUUUUCAAACACUGUCACAAGUGCAGUUCCUCCAGGGUGGAGAUCGAGAAGCGAAUAAUUGGCUCUUGCCUGACAGUCACCGAGGACUGCCUCAGUUGCAAGAGACAGAGCCAGUGGGAGUCGCAGCCAUUUUCUCUACCACUCAAGCAGGAAAUCUGCUCGUGUCAGCUGCCAUCCUCUUAGGUGGGCAGGGGCCUACUGAAGUGCUGCGCCUGGUCAACAGCAUUGGCAUAGUUACACACACCGUAAGGACGUACAGCACCCACCAGCAAAGGUUUUUGCUGCCUGCAAUUAAAAAGACCUGGUCCAACCAUGUUAAGCUACUCCUGAGCAGGCUGAAGGAAUCUGGGAAACCACUGACAAUCAGAGGAGAUGGGAAGGUAGACAGCCCUGGGCAUUUGGCCAAUCAUGGCUGUUACACUGCCCUGGAGCUCAAUCACAACAAUAUCAUCGAUCUGCAGCUUGUUCAGGUUAUGUCAAGGAAGUGGUCAGUGAAGUUGUUAGAUGCUGCGCCCACGGCAUCAUCCCUGUCAAUGUCAAGCCAGUGCCACCCCCUCUUGCAAGUACGAGGUCCCUAACGAGGAGGAUUUGAUAGCGAAGCAACAAAGCCGAUUUAAGUCAAAAUGAAACAACUGUAAUUCCUAUCAGUUUACUGUGUCUAAUGUUCAAAAGGCAGUUGGAAACUUCUGUAUUUUUCACAGUCAAUACGUUUUCAUGUCUUGGAUCAAGUUGGAUUGGGCACCUACAUUGUGCUUAAUAUAAUAUCAAACACACUAAACUUGAUUUAGUUGAGAAUUCCAAUCAAGCAAGCGAAAACUAAAUUAUGGCAACCAUAACAGAUUUUAUUACUUUUAAAUUAGUGGAGUCCUUGCUGUUUGGUUUAUACAUGUAUUUAUCAAGAUUUGAUAUUCUUGAAAGGUAGUCAAACCUCUUAACAAAGAGGUCCUUGAAAAUUUAAAAAAUAACAUAGUUGUAACAGGAACCUUGUACACUGUACAUGUAUUAACAGGAGUGGAAAACUCUAGCCAAAACUCUUUUCAUAACAGAAAGCAGUGCUCUUAUUGAGGUUCGACUGUAUACAUACAUGUACACAGUAAUAUGAUACAAAGUAUGCAAAGCAGUUUGUAAAAGUCAAUAUUGACACUCAGUUUUCUGUAUGCUUUUAUUUGUAUCAAAUACACCCAAUAUCAUGUGUGAUACUUAUUACUAGCGUGUCAUGUUCAAACUGGGUUUUUUUGGCAGAGGUAACAAUUGCCAUUAACUGCUAUAUUAUAUUUUUCUCACUGGGAACUUUUUGGACAGGUUGCUGUAUUUUUACUUAAGCACUGUUGAAACCUGGAACUGUUGAAAGAAAUUUGCAUAGAAUAUCUAAAACUGGGAAUGUGAUCAGUGAAUACACAUAGUUUUUACAGUACACAGAGCGUAUUAAAUCCAAGUCACAGAAUCAAAGUGAGAAUACAUGUACAUGUAAUAUGAAAGUAUAGAUCUGACAAAUGUGACGGCCUCAGAAGUUUAACAUCAAAAUGUGUGGCAGUAAGUAAAGUCUGUCUUGCAUAUUAAACAGGGAUGCAUUUUUGUUUUAUUUAGAUUCAUUUAGUGAUCUAACAAUAUUUCAAGUAACACAAUCUCUUCAUUUUUGUGUCUCAUAUGCAUUUACUAAAUGUAUCUUGUGUAUGUGCACAUACACUCAUGCAGUUUCCACAGUUUUCACCAUGUCAAAAAACCAACUUUACAUCCCCGUUUAAAAUGUUGGUUUACAUUAGUCUGACUCAACUUCAUUAAUCCAAACGCUGUCCACAGAUGGAAAGGCCUCCCUGAUGAGAUGAACAGCACACGCUGGAAGUGGAACAUGUACAUGUACCAUGCGUCCAAAGUGUCCCCAACACCACUGUGUCAGCUGCCUAUAUGCAGUAUGGCGGUACU